Molecule: small RNA, 558 nt
Filed under: Pongo abelii (Sumatran orangutan)
Lineage: Eukaryota; Metazoa; Chordata; Mammalia; Primates; Hominidae
Description: retained intron
Source: RNAcentral
GCAUGUAGUAUGAUUAAGAUUAUUUAAAAUUCUAGAUUGUAGACUGAAGUAUGCAAACAUUUUAAUAUGUUUUUAAUUUAGGUCUUGCUAUCACAGAUGAAAUUUUGCUGAGUAAGGCAGAGUGGUCCAAACUUUUUGAAGCUCCAAACUUCUUUCAAAAGUACAAGCAUUAUAUUGUACUUCUAGCAAGUGCACCAACAGAAAAACAGCGCCUGGAAUGGGUGGGCUUGGUGGAAUCAAAAAUCCGAAUCCUGGUUGGAAGCUUGGAGAAGAAUGAAUUUAUUACACUGGCUCAUGUGAAUCCCCAGUCAUUUCCAGCACCCAAAGAAAAUCCCGACAAGGAAGAAUUUCGCACGAUGUGGGUGAUUGGGUUAGUGUUUAAAAAAACAGAAAACUCUGAAAACCUCAGUGUUGAUCUCACCUAUGAUAUUCAGUCUUUCACAGAUACAGUUUAUAGGCAAGCAAUAAACAGCAAGAUGUUUGAGGUGGAUAUGAAAAUUGCUGCAAUGCAUGUAAAAAGAAAGCAACUCCAUCAACUACUACCUAAUCAUGUGCUUC